GUAGCGGCGAGUGAAGCGGCAAGAGCUCAGAUUUGAAAUCGUGCUAAUUUUUUUGGCACGAGUUGUAGAGUGUAGGCGGGAGUCUUUGUGGAGCACGGUGUCCAAGUCCCUUGGAACAGGGCGCCUGAGAGGGUGAGAGCCCCGUGGGGUGCCGUGCGAAGCUUUGAGGCCCUGCUGACGAGUCGAGUUGUUUGGGAAUGCAGCUCCAAGUGGGUGGUAAAUUCCAUCUAAGGCUAAAUACUGGCGAGAGACCGAUAGCGAACAAGUACUGUGAAGGAAAGAUGAAAAGCACUUUGAAAAGAGAGUGAAACAGCACGUGAAAUUGUUGAAAGGGAAGGGUAUUGGGCCCGACAUGGGGAGUGCGCACCGCUGUCUCUUGUAGGCGGCGCUCUGGGCGCUCUCUGGGCCAGCAUCGGUUCUUGCUGCGGGAGAAUGGGUGCCGGAAAGUGGCUCUUCGGAGUGUUAUAGCCGGCGCCAGAUACCGCGUGCGGGGACCGAGGACUGCGGCUUCUGUCUCGGAUGCUGGCACAACGGCGCAAUACCGCCCGUCUUGA
RNAcentral lists this ribosomal RNA (554 nucleotides) under Pichia membranifaciens. Its description in RNAcentral is "partial large subunit ribosomal RNA". It matches the Rfam family "Eukaryotic large subunit ribosomal RNA", at positions 83 to 657 of the family's 3401-position model. Lineage: Eukaryota; Fungi; Ascomycota; Pichiomycetes; Pichiales; Pichiaceae. The record is from RNAcentral.